Molecule: small RNA, 2870 nt
Filed under: Pan troglodytes (chimpanzee)
Lineage: Eukaryota; Metazoa; Chordata; Mammalia; Primates; Hominidae
Description: retained intron
Source: RNAcentral
AGCGAAGAUGGCGGCAGUGGAGAAGCGGCGGCAAGCGGUACCACCGCCGGCCGGUUUCACGGACAGCGGCCGCCAGUCGGUAUCCCGGGCGGCGGGGGCGGCCGAGAGCGAGGAGGACUUCCUGCGGCAGGUCGGCGUGACGGAAAUGCUACGUGCGGCCCUGCUGAAGGUGCUGGAGGCGCGGCCCGAGGAGCCGAUCGCCUUCCUGGCUCACUACUUCGAGAACAUGGGCCUGCGCUCGCCUGUAAACGGCGGCGCCGGGGAGCCCCCGGGCCAGCUCCUGCUGCAGCAGCAGCGCCUGGGCCGCGCGCUGUGGCACCUUCGCCUGGCCCACCACUCCCAGAGGUGCGCAGCGGGCCGGCUUGGGCGGGUGGGGCAGCGAUGGACUUCAACUCCCAGCAUGCCGCGCGCGGCUCCCUACCCGCAGCGCCGGCGCGGGGGCCCGGGGCUUGCUGGGAGUUGUAGUCCGCGAUGCCUUCUUGGGUGGGAUGGAUCGGACAAGGUGGGCUGGAGGGUCCGGGCUUCGGUCCGGCGCUAGGCAGCGCGCUGCAUGCGGCGCGAGUCCUUCUGGCCGGCUUCGCCUUCUGUGACGCCUUUUUGCAGGUGCUGAGUUUCCCCUUGCAGUUCAUGAUUUUCAAAAUCUUGCAGCUCAAGAGGACUUGGCCCGAGGUCGCAGAGCCAGCCCCCAAGCCAGGUCCUCCUAGUCGCCUCGUUAGCAGCCUCAUGGCAUCCCCGUCCAUUCAGCCAGAACGUGAAUAUUUACAGAGAGCAGCGCAGUCACCCAGGGCCCCCACCUUAGGGGACAGGCUCCCAGCGGGCAGGUGGGGAUUCCUGGAAGAGCCUGGCGAUGUGCGGGCGGGUUGCAGGGAAGAGGCCCAGCAGGUGCAAAUUUAGACCCUGAGUGUGGGGCACACGGGAGGCGGGAAAGCCACGGAAUUUGGCUGAAGCAUGCGAGGCUGCAGGUGCCUACGCGUGGUGUCCCCUGGCUGGGGCCAGUUCUGAGCCCAGGGAAGGUGGUUGGGGACUAUGCGUUGACGUUGGGGAUGGAUGGGCUGCUGUCUUUUGUGGGGGGCGGUCCCCAGAAGCGGAGCCUGAGGUAGGCAUUGUGUGUGCAGGUGAUUUUAUAAGGGGGUGCGCCCAAGAGAACCCAGGAAGGGGGUGGGAAGAGCAGGCAGGGAAGGAUGUCAAGCAAAGGUGCCCUUUCAGCCUCAUAACCAGGGCAUAAGCGCCCACCAUGGCAGCCCUCGCCAGAGUCCCAGAGAAGUUCGGGGGGAGAAGAGAGAUGGGGAGUGUCCCCCCCACCACGGUCAGGGUGCACAGGUGUCCAAGAUCAUACUCAGAUAAGGGUGGCAGGGUGUUGGGUACCUGGACAAGGAGCAGACUUGCUCCGGUGGCCCACUGGCUCUGAAGGCCCCGCCCGAUGAUUUGCUGGAGCCAGGUGGGAGGGGAGCGGGCAAGAGCAGGCCCAGAGGGUCGGUGGAGCCGUUUACUGCGAUGGAAGGCCCCUGGUUUGAAGAAGCUGCCAGAGCCACUUGCGGAUUAAGUUGGAGGCUGGGAGGAGCCUGGAGACAGGAAGGUAGAAAGAAGCGUCUGCAACUGAGACACGGGGCCAGGACAGAAGACUGAACUGGAGGGGUCCUGAAGGCUUCAGGAGAGAUGAGAAGAGCUCAGGACCACACUCUGAGGGCACCUAGCCCACAGAGCCCACCAGAAAGGGUGAGAACAUGAGACCAGAGGUGAAGGGGGAGCAGGAGGAAGAUGGCCUCCCAGGACACCUGGAAGAGAAUCUCCCAAGGAGGAAAAGGGGUCGACAGCAGGCCCACCACGUAUGGUUGUUCAGGUUGAGCACUGCACAAGCCACUCACCCCAUAGACACUGCAGAUGAGGAUAUUUAUAUUUAUAUUAAUUUCCGAGGGCUGCUGGAACAAAUUACCUCCAACUUAGUGGCUUAAAACAACAGAAAUUUAUUCUCUCACAGUUCUGGAGGGCAGAAGUCUGAAAUCGGGGUGUCAGGAGGACCACACUCCCUCUGGAGGCUCCAGGGAAGGAGCCUUCCUUGCCUCCCCAGCUUCCGGUGGCGGCCAGCAGUCUUUGGCUUGUGGCCACAUCGCUGCAGUCUCUGCCUCCGUCCUCACGUGGCCUCCUGUGUGUCUCUGUCCUGUGUUCCCUCAUAAGGACACCACUAGGCCCCACCCUACUUCAGUGUGACCUCAACCAUCUACAUCUGCAAAGCUGCUGUCUCAAAUAAGCUCUCAGUCUGAGGUUCUGGAUGGGCGUGAGUUUGGUGGGCACCAGUCACCCCAGGACAGGAGUGGAGCCGUUGGCUGGAAGAGUUCUCAUAGCAGGGACUCAGGGCAAGGGUGGCGCUGGUGGCAGAUGCAUCCCGGCCCUGGGCUCGCCUGGGCUCCCCAGAGACACAGCCAGUGGGGAAUGCAGAAGACAGGUGCAUAGACCUGCGUGGCAUCUGAUUCUGUGCUCAUGGAGCCAGGCCUGCUCCCGUCCUCCCAGCAGGCAGCUCCAGCCCCUCCAUCCUUGGACCGUCAGGAACCCCUGAGGUCACCUGGCCAGUCAGGAAGAGAAACCCAGAGCAGCCGGGCGCGGUGGCUCACGCCUGUCAUCCCAGCACUUUGGGAGGCCGAGGCGGGCGGAUCACAAGGUCAGGAGAUCGAGACCAUCCUGGCUAACACAGUGAAACCCCGUCUCUACUAAAAAUACAAAAAAUUAGCCGGGUGUGGUGGCAGGUGCCUGUAGUCCCAGCUACUCAGGAGGCUGAGGCAGGAGAAUGGCGUGAACCCAGGAGGCGGAGCUUGCAUUGAGCCGAGAUCGCCCCACUGCACUCCAGCCUGGGCGACAGAGCGAGACUCUGUCUC